Molecule: long non-coding RNA, 577 nt
Organism: Cephus cinctus (wheat stem sawfly)
Lineage: Eukaryota; Metazoa; Arthropoda; Insecta; Hymenoptera; Cephidae
Exons: 3
Source: RefSeq, a predicted model, not a curated record
GUGGGGUAUAUACCUGCACCAGAAAGCGGCUGGUAGUUGGUCGGUAGGUAUGAUGUCCGUCACGCGAGAAGGCGCACGCGUGCUAGUAGCCAUUGGUCUAUUGAUUUCAAGAGAGUCCGAAUACGCCAGGGGGACCGGAACGGCGAUAGAACGGUUACCGGUAUAAUACGAGAACCGCACAACCCGAAGACACGGAUCCUGCACGGAUGGGCGUGGUGUCGAUGUCCAAGAGAGUGGGGUCGACUUACUUUUCAUUGGGUAUCACCAACCGAUUGAAACGCCCGUAAACCAGAAAACCAACCAUACGUACCUCGUCCAUCGUUCCAUAGGUUCCAGUUGUCGUGCGGCUUGAUGCUCGGAUACCUGAUGUAAUCCUGUAACGAACGACGCUCCGUGUAUAACCUCGAAUUACAGAGAACUGUAAAGAACUUCGAAGGGAUUUACAUCCAGUGCUUUUAUUAUCUCAACGGCCUAACGUGUCACGGAACGCGUUGGUAUCGUCGAUAGAAAAUUCGUAAUCAACUCCACCAUCCAGAUACUCAAGACUUUCUAUGUCGGAUGUGGCACAAAGUCUGUC